This 481-nucleotide ribosomal RNA is filed under the name uncultured bacterium. Its description in RNAcentral is "partial 16S ribosomal RNA". It matches the Rfam family "Bacterial small subunit ribosomal RNA", at positions 28 to 507 of the family's 1533-position model. The record is from RNAcentral.
GAUGAACGCUGGCGGCGUGCUUAACACAUGCAAGUCGAACGAAGCAUUUAGGACAGAUUACUUCGGUUUGAAGUUCUUUAUGACUGAGUGGCGGACGGGUGAGUAACGCGUGGGUAACCUGCCUUGUACUGGGGGAUAGCAGCUGGAAACGGCUGGUAAUACCGCAUAAGCGCACAAUGUUGCAUGACAUGGUGUGAAAAACUCCGGUGGUAUAAGAUGGACCCGCGUCUGAUUAGCUAGUUGGUGAGAUAACAGCCCACCAAGGCGACGAUCAGUAGCCGACCUGGGAGGGUGACCGGCCACAUUGGGACUGAGACACGGCCCAGACUCCUACGGGAGGCAGCAGUGGGGAAUAUUGCACAAUGGAGGAAACUCUGAUGCAGCGACGCCGCGUGAGUGAAGAAGUAAUUCGUAAUGUAAAGCUCUAUCAGCAGGGAAGAUAGUGACGGUACCUGACUAAGAAGCUCCGGCUAAAUACGUG